AGUAUUUUCUAUUACCUCAUGAUUUGAGAUGUCUGUUUUCUUGAUAUCUAUGCCAGGAAGUAAUUCAGAAUUCAAGGAAUCUGAAAAGUUAUUUAAUUCUUCUUCUGUCCAUUUUUGAUUAAGGAGACUUCUAGCUUUAUUUAAUGACUCUUUGGAGACCCUUAUAUUUUUUCUGCUUGCAGUCUGAAAGGAUAAAUAAAAAGUGUCAAAAUCUUUUAUGUUUUGCCCCGUAUUAGCUGUUAACUGCUGUUUAUUUGACAUAGUAACAUGAGAUGUUUCUUCAGCUUUCAUAACUUCCAAACAGGUUAAAUCUGACAAACCUUCUUUAAUUUGAGUGUUCCCCUCCUUCAUAAACUGGCUAAAUAAUUUCAGAUCUAUGUUGUGCUGAUCAAUACAGGGCAAGCCAUUUUCUUCUUCAUGAAUAUAAACUGUAUCAUUUUUACUUGAAUCACUGCCAUCAGAUUCUGAGUUACAAGUAUUUCUACCAGCGUCAGUACAUUGGUUACCUUCAUUUUCUGUAUUUCUCCUGUAACUUUCAGUAUAUUCUUCAACAAAAAUGUCAGUAGUCAUUUCAAUAUUAUUUUGUAGUAUUAGCCGGCAUUUAUUAUUUUUCUCAUUUAAAUUUUUAUCAUUACAAUCUUCUAUCUGAAUCAUUGAGACAGAAUCAUUGUAUUUGCUUGAGGAGAAACUUCUAUCUACUUCUACAGAAGUUUCCUCAUUGAUAUUCUCAAGGUCACUGAACAGUUUCUUAGCUUUUUGCAAUGCUUCACUACCAACAUUCAGUUUUGUGCCACGAGCAGAAUAAAAGCCUCUAAACUCCACUUCAUUUUUAUCUGUUGAAUAGCCAGAAGCACUUCUGUUACAGCUGGUUCUUGACAAGCAAGCAAACUUCUGCUUACCUCCAAUUAUACCUUCAGAUUUCUUGCUAUCUACCUGACUGAUAGAUGGAGCAUUAGUUGUGAGAUGAAGAUCAUCAUCUUUCCAUUCCUUAGAAGUGCUAUUCAAGAUAGUCAGCUGGUUUUCAGGCAUUUCAAAUGGAUUUUUCUGUAUUAUGUGGCUUGGUUUUCUAAACUGUGUAAAUUCAAACUGGCUUCCUGAUUCUUCCAAAAUAGUAGAAAGUUCUGUAAUUUCUGCCUUUUGACUAGGAGUUAAAUUACGAUUUGAAUCAAAAUCUUGCUUUAAAGAUAAAGUUGGAGGAGCUGUGUGACCACUUUCACUAUCAGAAACAUAUGUGCUAUUCUGCACAAACCCAGAUAUGAUAUUAAUUGACUGUGGAUCAAGUGCAUGAGAUUUGCUUGGUUUCUUUUGACUUUCUAAUGAUGAAGUAUUUACAAUUUCAAGACAUGCUAAGUUAGUAGGAUAAUGUUCCUCAAUAUCUUUGAAAAGCAUUUUACUUUUCCUAAUGUUGUUUUCAGAGAGUUUUAUCUCUUUAUUAGAAGCUGUUUUGAAGCCAUUUUCAAAACUGUGAUUUGAAAUUGGAUCAGACAGUCUUGCCCAAUUAUCCAUAUAAUCACUGUUUCCAUUUGAUUUCCUAACUAUAUCUGAGGUAAUGUCUGAUUUUGAAUCUUGAUCUAGAGUCAUUUUUAGUUGUUGCUUUAUGGUACUUCUGUUCCUUUCUGUAAGAUCAUCUAUGCUUGAUGAAUAACAAUCUUUCAUAAUCGACACUUUGGCUGUUUGUUUGUCAUCCAGGUCUGUACAUACUACCAUGGUAGAGUUCUUAGGAACAGAAUCUCUUACACAACAGAGGUUUGAAUCAUGUAGUUCCUUAGUAUUUCCUAAAACAGGAGUAUUACUUUCAUUAGUUAUCUUUAAGACAAAAUUAUUUUCAUCAUCUGGGAAAAGUUCUUCAGAGUUUGGAUUAACAGUUAUUUUUGAAAUUAAAGUAGUUUCUUUUUGGUCUUUUUGGAUUGUGGUGAGAUUUGCAUUUUGGUUGAACUGAACCUUUACUGAAGAUGAUGCUACUGUUAUAUGUUUUUCAGUUGACAACAGUUUAGCAUUUUUAGAAUCUGCAUUUAAAACAUGUAUGUCUUGAUUCUUUUCCAUGGGAAUAUUUUGGGUUAAUUCAAAACCAGUUUCAUGAUUCUUACAUUUUAGUUUCUCUGAUAUUUUAUAUGAUUCUUUUCCUCUAGACAUCACAACUAGGCUUGAUGGAGAAUCCCUAGAGCUAGGAGUUAACAGACUGGUAUUAUCACAGUCAAAUGAAAAGCUUUCUGGAGACUGAAAGUGAAUAUCACUACCUUCCACUUCUGAAUGUGGCACAGGAGGGUGACUUACUGUAGGCAAGACUUUUUCUUUUAUAUCUGAAACUCUUUGUUUUUUUGCAUCAUCUUCCCAAUGUUUUUCCUGCAGGGAUGACAGACAAUCAGUUUCUGUGGUUAUAAAUGACUCCAAUUUUUUCUUAUUAAUUUUUGCUUCUUUAUAAUCAGGAUCCUGAGAUAUUAUUUUAUUAUUAGGAGAACUGGCUCCAUUACUGGAAACUUUUCUCAGAAUUGUCCCAAAAGAGCUGGUUAAAGACAAAGCUGGUUUUUCUGAGUCAUUCUGUAAACAGUUUUUUUUGAUGGAAGAAGAAUGCAAUAAACCUAAGCAUGAAGACACAAAGUGACAAAAUUAAAGUGCCAUCAAUCACAUUCACUAAGUAUUUUUCACUAAGUAAAAAAAAAAAAAAA
This 2666-nucleotide long non-coding RNA is filed under the name Canis lupus familiaris (dog). Its description in RNAcentral is "lncRNA (ENSCAFG00845015675.1)". The record is from RNAcentral. Lineage: Eukaryota; Metazoa; Chordata; Mammalia; Carnivora; Canidae.